AUCACAUGUUUGGGCAAACCUGACUAAGUGUGGUGGUAAGUUGCUAUGUUGUCACCAGUCACAUACACACAGGGACGAUCAGGUACAGCAGACCUGCCUACUUUUUUAUUUAUGUUGGGUUUUCCGUUGGUAAUAAUAACAACAACAUGAUGUUUCUAGAAAUCAUUCAAGUUAACAAACAUGAAGAUCUAUCUGUCUGAUAAGAUUCUCCUCAAUCUGGUCUAGGAAUCAAAGCAAACAUUGCAGUUAAUAAAUGGGAGAUGCCAUGUUUUGCUCUUAAGGCAAAUCCCAAUGGCUCUGUAGAGAGGAUAUAAAUUUUUAUUUUUUGUUUACCGCACACGCCCAACAUACAGAGGAAGAAAACGUUGACAGAAAGGCAGAACAUGAUAUGCCAAGAAUGUGGGAAAACUGGUCAUCUCAAAAGCACAUGCUUUGAAAUACAUGGGUACCCUGAUUGGUACAAAGCCCUUAUGAAAAAGAAGAAAGGACAAGAUAACAACAAUCAAGUCUUUAACACUGCUGAAGGUGAAAAACAUGUUGUAGCUGCAGCAGGAGAUACAGUCAACAAGAAGGUUAUUUCAGAAAUAAUUAAAGCUGAGCUCCGAAAGAUGAUGGCAGAAAAUAAUCUUAAUUACUCACCAUUUGGUCGUUUUUCAGGAGCCAUACUCCUAUCAACAAGUAGCAUCACAACCAGAAUGGGUGAAGGCUAUGCAAUAUGAGCUUAAGGCUUUGGAAGAUAAACAAACAUGGGAUGUGACCCCAUUACCACCUGACAAAAAGGCAAUUGGAUGUAGGUGGAUUUUCAAGUCAAAAUUCAAACCAGAUGGUUCAUUGGAUAGACACAAAGCCAGGUUUGUAGCUAAGGACACAACUAAAUAGAAGGGAUUGACUACUUUGAAAGCUUCUCACCAGUGGCUAAGGUUGUUACAAUGAGAACACUCAUUGCAUUUGCUGCUUCAGCUGGAUGGGAAUUGCAUCAAUUGGAUGUGAAUAAUGCAUUUCUCUAUGACUAUUUGGAUGAGGAACUUUACAUGGAACCACCAGAAGGUUAUGCAGUUCCUUCAGGAUGUGUGUGCAAGCUCAAGAAGUCCUUAUAUGGACUUAAACAGGAACAUCAUCAAUUCAAAUUACUGAAGUAAAACAAUAUCUUGAUCAACUAUUCACCAUCAGGGACCUGCUAGAUACUUUCUUGGCUUGGAAAUAGCUCGGGCUUCCGAAGGAGUGGAACUUGCUCAAAGCAAAUAUACAGGAUAUUGUUCAAGACUUGAAGUUAACUGAGGCUCGCACCACCAACACACCUCUCCCGCAUGGAAUCAAGCUGAAAUCAACUUCAUAUCAAGCUCUCCCUCAUCCAGCCAUUUACAGAAGACUGGUGAGCAGACUUCUGUACCUAAACUUCACAAGACCAGACAUCUCUCCUGCAGUACAACAACUUAGUCAAUUUCUCCAAGUCCCUUGUAAAAGUCAUUGGGAUGCAGCCACACAUGUAGUCAGAUACUUAAAGGGAACUUCACAUAAAGGACUAUUAUCCCUGCCAACAUUAGCUCCAACCUUACGGCAUACUGUGAUGCAGAUUGGGCCUUUUGCCCAGACAACAGAAGAUCCUUAACAUGAUAUUGCAUAUUCUUAGAAAAGGCUUUGAUAUCUUGGAAAACAAAGAAAAAAAAUACUGUUUCUCGCUCCGUGGCUGAGGCAAAGUACAGAGCCAUGGGCUCUACUGCUUGUGAGCUUGUCUGGAUUGCAGCUCUUCUCAAGGAUCUUGGCAUACACAUUUCUUGUCCAAUUCCUUUCUUAUGUGAUAAUAGGGCUGCACUACAUAUCAUUAGCAAUCAUGUGUUUCACGAGAGAACUAAACACUUGGAAAUAGAUUGCCAUUUAGUACGUGAUCACUACAAGUCUGGCUUCCUUGCUCCUACUCAUGUUUGAUCAAAGGAUCAAUUGGACAACAUUUUCACUAAGCCAUUGACAGGACCCCUCUUUCAUUCUUUUCUUCGCAAGCUGGGCUUAUAAACUUCACAGUUGGUCCAGCUUGAGGGGGGUUGACAGAAUAGUGAUGCUCAGAAGUGCAGUGACUCGAAGUGGAAGAUGAUGAACAGGGAUCAUUUUUUACUAAGGCCUAAGAAAAUUGCUGUUCUCCAAAUGACACUAACGACGCUAUGUAAAUUAAAGAAGGCAGAAUUCAUCUCACGCUUUUAUACUUCAGUUUUUAAGCUUUCUUAUGUAAAUACGUUUAUAUAAGUGGAGUAGCACUUUUAGUUGUUUUAGUGCACUAGCCGUUGGAUAGGUGGUUAGUUUAACUUUCUUUCUUCAUUCAUAUUGUGUAUAUAUAUACACAGAUGUAUAGCAGCUGCACUAGAACUCCAUUUUCUUCUCGAAUGAAUGGAUCUGAA
Molecule: non-coding RNA, 2390 nt
Organism: Sesamum indicum (sesame)
Lineage: Eukaryota; Viridiplantae; Streptophyta; Magnoliopsida; Lamiales; Pedaliaceae
Source: RefSeq, a predicted model, not a curated record